AAAACUAUACUUUCAGGGAUCAUUUCUAUAGUAUGUUAAAAUUGCAUUAUUAAUAUCUGCAAAUUACCAAGGUGAUUAUUUUAUAACUUGGG
RNAcentral lists this small nucleolar RNA (92 nucleotides) under Erinaceus europaeus (western European hedgehog). Its description in RNAcentral is "Small nucleolar RNA U3". It matches the Rfam family "Small nucleolar RNA U3", at positions 1 to 101 of the family's 219-position model. From Rfam's summary of the family: Small nucleolar RNAs (snoRNAs) are involved in the processing and modification of rRNA in the nucleolus. Lineage: Eukaryota; Metazoa; Chordata; Mammalia; Eulipotyphla; Erinaceidae. The record is from Rfam by way of RNAcentral.